CAACGCGUUAAGUGUUCCGCCUGGGGAGUACGCACGCAAGUGUGAAACUCAAAGGAAUUGACGGGGGCCCGCACAAGCGGUGGAGUAUGUGGUUUAAUUCGAUGCAACGCGAAGAACCUUACCAGGGUUUGACAUCCUGCGAAUCCCUUGGAAACGAGGGAGUGCCUUCGGGAGCGCAGUGACAGGUGGUGCAUGGCUGUCGUCAGCUCGUGUCGUGAGAUGUUGGGUUAAGUCCCGCAACGAGCGCAACCCACGUCUUUAGUUGCCAGCAUUCAGUUGGGCACUCUAGAGAGACCGCCGGUGAUAAACCGGAGGAAGGUGUGGAUGACGUCAAGUCAUCAUGCCCCUUACAUCCUGGGCUACACACGUACUACAAUGCUACGGACAAAGGGCAGCAAACUCGCGAGAGCUAGCAAAUCCCAUAAACCGUGGCUCAGUUCAGAUCGUAGGCUGCAACUCGCCUACGUGAAGGAGGAAUCGCUAGUAAUCGCAGGUCAGCAUACUGCGGUGAAUACGUUCCCGGGCCUUGUACACACCGCCCGUCACACCAUGGAAGUUGGCCACGCCCGAAGCCGUUACUCCAACC
RNAcentral lists this ribosomal RNA (586 nucleotides) under uncultured cyanobacterium. RNAcentral describes it as "bacterial SSU rRNA". It matches the Rfam family "Bacterial small subunit ribosomal RNA", at positions 853 to 1440 of the family's 1533-position model. The record is from RNAcentral. Lineage: Bacteria; Bacillati; Cyanobacteriota.